UCCACAGUUUUUUUUUUUAUCAUCAACUUCCUACUUUAUACUGUUAAUUUCUUGUUAUUUCUUUGUAUUAAUCAUUUGUUUAUCUUUUAUCACUAGAGCCUUUUUGAUAUUAUUACCCCAUAGCUGGUAAACAAAAGGUUCUCAAUAGAGGUCUUCACUUUUAAGGCAGAACUUCCUCAUCUAUAGAGUGGGAUGUUUUAACAAUACAAACGUUUUAGGAUUUGUGGGGAUUAAGUGUAAAAUACAUGCAGGUGUUUAGGAGUCCUUGAGUGUUUCCUUCACUCUUUGUCUCAGAAGAAAUCUGUGAAAUAAACUCACUGGGUCUCCUUACAAUCUCUCUGGGUCCACCUUUACUCAUCUCGGUAAGAUUCACAGCCAAGAAUAGAAAUGCUCUCCUUUCAAUUACUUCCCAUCAAGGUAGGAAGAACGUUCUCUUUGGUAUCAAGCAUAAGUCCUGGUACUGUUGACAUCUUCCAGUUUCCUGUGGUUCUAAUGACUUUCCUGUGGUUCUGACUGCCUCUGUGAUCUCUCAUAUUUGUUUACAAUCCAGAAACAAGUUGACUUCACAGAAGUGCCUAACCCAGGACUCCUCCAGCUGUAGUUUCUAAUUCAUGCUAGUAGUUUCCAUGCCAACUAAAGGAUGAAAAACAUCUAAUGACUCAUCUAGGGGUUCACCUAAGGGUAAUCAAGCUGUCUAAGCCUCCAGGUUAUACUGUUCUCUUUUCUUGGAUCCAUUCUCAGACUGAUCCUUUUCAAACUCUCGUUCCAAGACACUUAAGUCACAAAUGGUCUUCAGUGUUCAAGCUUUCACAAUGAGAGAGACCCAUAGCUCUUCAGAAUGUACAUUAAAUCACAGAAAAAAAAAAAACAAAACCCAAACCCAGCAAUUCCAGCAGAGUCCACGAGGACCAAUCACUUUCUUAAGGAGUAGAGUCCUUACGUGGAUGAGGAGCCAAAGAGCAGCAGAAUCACAUGGUUGACAGUUCCACGCGUGUGACAUGAAGGGAGGAAGGAAGGUCUGGUUCUCCAGGAAAAGAGGGGCUGUGUUACGAGAAGCAGGAGUAUUGUUCAGGACGGAAACGACCCGAGUUCAUACAAGAGGCAAUACAGAUGAAGGCAGAUGAGAGACAUGAAGAUGUUCCAGGGCCAGGGAAGGAACCCAUGCCAAAGCAGUAACCCAGGCCACAGCAGGGACGAUACCAGAUCUUUAACCCACUGAGCCACCGGGGAACUCUGGCAAUGGAGAGAUCAGAGCUGGAGACAGAUACGUAGAAGUGGUUGCAUACAGGUGGUUAUGUAAAGUAGAGAGCAGCUAUCACCCCGAAUGAGAGUGCAGAUAAAUCAAAGCAGAUGGUAGGGCUCAAUCCCAGGGUAUUCCAAACAUAGAGGCCAAGUGGUGGAGUUGGCAAAUGAGAGUGGGAAGGAGUCUCUAGGGAGGCAGGAGGCAAGCACAGAGAAAGUUGUGUCCCACAAAGGAAAGCGAGAGUUUGAAUAAAGAAGGUGUAUUCAACUUGGUUAAAUGCUACUGAGAGGCUAAAAGGGAUAAAGACAGAGAAGUAGCCAUUGGGCUGGACGACAUGAAAGUGACCUUAACAGGAGCAGUGUAGAACACAAGCCCAACUGGAAUGUGUUGUAACAGAGAAGAAGAGGUAAUGAGGACAUUUUCAAGAGGGUUUUGUGCCAAGGGGAGAAGAUACGUGACAGUAUCUGAAAAGAAAUGUAGUGUCAGGGGAUAUACAUUAUAUGUAUGCAAACAUGUGAAGGCCUCCUGCCUGCACAGGCACUGAUUCUUUCUGCAGGUCCCUGGGCUGCUGGCCUGAGCCGGCCCCUCACCCACUUUGCAUGCUGACCACUGCACCCGCGCCAAUUACAGAGGUGGCUUUCUACUUGCCCAGCAACUGCAGACCAGCCAUGCCCAGGGCAAACCAGCAAUGUUGUCUGCCACCCAGUGGCUGAACUGCGCCUCCCUAGCAAGGACUGCACCUGAAGACUACAGAAGUUCCCAGGAGUAUUUAUCCAUCUUGUCUAAGAAUCCAUUCUGGCUGAAAGGGUGUGUGCCCAUCAUUUUUACUCGUUUCUUCCAUCGGAAAGGCCAACUUGCACUUGCUGUGUACAUACUGGACUGGGCGAGCAUCUCCGACAGAACAUGACCCAUCAAACAUCAGGCAGACAUGGCAAGUUGCCUCUGUGUUUUUAAUGAUUCAUUUUGGGAAGAACCGAAAACCUUCCAUGGAUUUCCCCAGAAAGUGCUAACUUCUGAGAGCCGUCGUUCAGAAGGCAGUACCAGAAGCACCACCUGUGGCACCCAGAGCUGCUCAGAGGAAGGUCUGAAAAUCACAAACCUCAGACUAACCCCUUCAUUUGAGAAACUGGGGCCCAGAGGGCUGAAGUGACUUUUGCAGUGUCAUGAAAUUGUCAACCAAAGGACUGAAUCCCAGCGCACUGUGCUUUCAGCUGUUUUACCCUAUAUUCCUGAAGGAUGAGUUCUAUAGAAUAGAUUAGCUCCUAUCAGUGGGUAGCCCUCUAGGGAGAGAACUGUCAGAGGGUUUUGUUCACACCUUGUUUCAAAUGCUGCUGCUCCUUCAGGACUGUGGACACGGAGACCUGCUUCCUAAGACUUCCCUCCCCACUUGGCAAUCAUCUUGAAUUUGUAUUAGAAGUAAGGAAAUGGGACUGCUUUCUCCAAAUAUUUAUAAUGACUUUAUUGCUCUGAAUUGCCACACAUCAGAGAGAACUUUUAACCAUUAGGGGUCUUGACUUCCUAUUUGUGAAAAGUGGAGUGACUCUGAUCAAGAAGGCUCAACUCCUUUUGGUUGGAGAUCACAGGAAUGGCAUCAUGUCAUGAUGGCCAUAGGGGAGCCACACCAGCUGUACUGUCCCCAGUGGAAAGAGCCAGGACCCAGGACAGGCAGUGACAGCUUCCCAGAGCACAAAUACUGUUGACUUGGGAGGUACCACUGGCAAAGUGGCCUGUGAAGAUCACCUUGUUGUAGCCUUGGUUCCUUGCCCUCCAGAGAGCUGACACCCCUUCACUGGGCUGGAUGAGCAGGAGAGACAGAGACACCUGGCCCUCCCGGAACAGAGUGAAGCUGACAAGGGAACCCCCUGUCGAAGACCCACUAAGAUACACUUCCUCCAGUGCUGUAGGUGUGGCCUAUCCCCAUUAUGAGGAUCCCAGUCAGGCUCAGCAAUGGCAACACCAGAUUUGCUUCUGGAGUUCCAGCUGGAUCUUCUAGAUGAAGCUGGGACGAUGAAUGGAAAAGAUACAAAGUGAAAAGUUGAGUCACAUGGAGGGGAUCCUCUUGGACCACCCUUAUCCUGGCUUCUUUUCCACCUGCCUCUAGGAAGCUUAAGCUUCUAGCUUUCCUAAACAAGGAUGGUGUCUACAUUUGUGAACCAGAGAGGAACUCUGCAUGAAGUCUUGAAAGGUGAGUCUUCAUUAGCCAAGAGACAAAGGCAUAUUGGGAAGGAGCGCCUACCAGGCAGAAGGGAAAGCAUGUGCAAAGCGUGAAGAUAGGAAAUCAAGUUCUGUUUGGAACUAAUGGUGGUACAGGUGGCUCAGGUGUAUGUGAAAAGGCAGGAGAUGAAGCUGGAAAGAAGACCCUCUGCACCACACUUUCAGGGUAAAAUCCACUCUCCUUAGUAUGGCAAUGAAGACUCUUCAACCCUCAGGAUUUCCAGAUUGAAAGGCCUUCCUCCCACACAGAUAAAGACACACCCUUAAGCCCCUCAUGAACUUGGAAUAAGACAGAUCUAGGUUUAAAUACAUGCUCUGCAACAUACAACCUACUUGAUCUUGGGAAAGUUGUUUAAAAUCUCUGGACCCCAAUUUUCCUAUCUCUAAAAUGGGAAUUAAGUACAUUUACCUCAAAGAGAUGAUGUGAGGACUUAGUUAUGAGAAAUACAAUAUAGAAGCAACGCUGAGUAGUUAUGCUGCGAGCCACAUGGGAAGUCUUUAAAAAAUAAAUACAUUUACAUAUUAAAAACAAAAAAACCCCAUGUCACUGGGGGAAGGACAGUGAACCCUUCCCAGAGCAUGUGUGAAGACCGACUCUGGCUGGAAAAACUGAGAAGAAAGAAUACUGCAUACUCCUGUAGGGACAGCAGGAGACUUCCUGGACUCAGAGGAUUAGAGAUUUCCUAACACUCAAGUGAGGGGCAGGAUCACUGCCAACCCCUGCCCAAACCAGGGGUACAGCGCCUGCCUAUGAUCAAGGCUGAGCCAGAAUAACAGAGAGUACAUUUCUUCUCCCCACCAGACUGGAUACUGUCAAGGGAAAGGCAACCACGUUAAGCCAGGAGAGGAGACAAGGCCAUGCAGAGAGACUCUGAGACCCAAGCAUACAGGGAAGGGUGAAAGUGAGGGUGAAAUAGGAACACGGAGAAGUGUCCUCUGUCUAAACAAUACCCACCUUAAGCACGGAAUAACUGAAGAAAUUUGAGGCCAAUGGUGAAUUCAGGGUCACCAUAGCAAUAAAAAACCCAAACCCAGCUCAACGACUGACUUUACUGGGUGAACCACCCCUGUCCCCAACCCUGGCCUCCAGCACACAGGAAUGGCCUAGGAGAAGAGGUGUCUCAUUUCUAUGCAUAAGUUCUAUUUGUUUGAGUCUAUACUCUUUUAAACUUUGUGCCUGACAAUAAAUAAAAAAUUAUGAGACAAACACAAAAAAGCAAGAAAAAACAAUCCGUGGUAAAGAGUAAAGUGAACCAUAGAAUCAGACUCAGAGAUAACCCAGAUAUUGGAAUGAUUACAGACAGGGACAGUUAGAGACAUGAGGUAUGUCUUUGAUGGGUCUGGGAUGGUUAAUUUUAUGUGUUAAGUUGACUGGGCUAAAGGGGCCCAGAUAACUGGUAAAUCAUCAUUUCUAUGUAUGUCUUUGAAGGUGUUUCCAGAGAGAAAACUGAUUCAAGAUAGGCUGAGUGAAUAUGGCCCUCACCCCUAACCAGUGUAGGUGGGCCUAAUCUAAUCCACUGAGGACUGGAAGAGGAUGAAAAAAUGAAGGGAGGCUGACUUUGGUCUCUGCUUGAGCUGGGACUCCUGUCUUCCUCAGGCAUCAGCGUUUCCCGUUCUCAGGCCUUUGGUCUUGGACCAGGAUGUUCGUGAAUCUCUCUCUCCAGACUCAGUAAUAGGAAAAUAAACAACCCAAUUAAAAAUGGGCAAAGUUUAAACAUUUCUCCAAAGAAGAUAUUCAGACCUCAAAUGUACGUAUAAAAAGAUGCUCAACAUCCUCAGAUAGUAGGAAAAUUAAAAGUCUAAUGAGGUAACACUAUACAGCUAUUAGAAUUCCUAAAAGAAUAUGACAGUUAUCAAGUGCUGACAAAAAAGUGGAGCAACUGAAACUUGCGUGUAUCGCUGAGAGAGGAUAAAAUAUGGUGCAGACACGUGUUUGGAAAUUUCUUAUAAUGUUAAAAUAGAUUUAUUGUACUACCCAGCAUGAUCGCCACCCAAGAGAAAUGAAAACUCAACGUUACACAAAAACCUGUAUGUGAAUAUAUAGAGAAGGUUUAUUCACAACUGCCAAAAACUGGACGUAAGUCAAAUGUCUUUCAUUUCUAUGUAAACAAACUGGGAUACAUCCAGGUAAUGGAAUACUACUCAGCAAUAAAAAGGAACAAACUUCUGAUAGACACACAAUGUAUGAAUCUAAAAUGUAUUAUGGUAAGAAAAAGAACCUACACUACAAAGGCUUAUAUGACAUUCUGGAAAAGGCAAAACCAUAGGGAAGAGAAUUGAUUAAGGGGUUGGGGCAAAGAUUGACCACGAAGAGACAUGAGAUAAUGUUUUGGGUGAUAGAACUGUUCUAUAUCUUGAGUGUGGUAAUGGUCACAUUAUUGUCAAAACUCACAGAACUGUAGAUUAAAAGCGGUGAAUUUACUGUAUAUAUAUUGUACUUCAAUAAAUUUAAUUAAAGUAAAA
Molecule: non-coding RNA, 5920 nt
Organism: Sus scrofa (pig)
Lineage: Eukaryota; Metazoa; Chordata; Mammalia; Artiodactyla; Suidae
Source: RefSeq, a predicted model, not a curated record